RNAcentral lists this transfer RNA (84 nucleotides) under Rhodopirellula sp. TMED11. Its description in RNAcentral is "tRNA-Leu". It matches the Rfam family "tRNA". Rfam says of the family: Transfer RNA (tRNA) molecules are approximately 80 nucleotides in length. Their secondary structure includes four short double-helical elements and three loops (D, anti-codon, and T loops). The record is from RNAcentral. RNAcentral also lists the same sequence under 1 other name. Lineage: Bacteria; Pseudomonadati; Planctomycetota; Planctomycetia; Pirellulales; Pirellulaceae.
GCGGGCGUGGCGGAACUGGCAGACGCGCAACGUUGAGGUCGUUGUGGGGGUAACCCCUUGGAGGUUCAAAUCCUCUCGCCCGCA